This 199-nucleotide unclassified non-coding RNA is filed under the name uncultured Polyporales. RNAcentral's name for it is "sequence contains ITS2". Lineage: Eukaryota; Fungi; Basidiomycota; Agaricomycetes; Polyporales. The record is from RNAcentral.
UAUUCUCAAUUCUCUAGGUCUUUUGUAAGACUCUGGUGAUAUUGGACUUGGAGGCUAUUGCUGGAACCUUGCAGGUACCUGCUCCUCUCAAAUGUAUCAGUAUGAAUGUUCACUUCAUGCUCAGUGUGAUAAUUAUCUGCACUGUGUCUGAGUGUCAUAAAUUCAUGCUUCAAACUGUCGUCAAGACAAUUCAUUUGAC